ACUGCAUUGGAAACUGUUGAGCUUGAGUCCCGGAGAGGUAAGCGGAAUUCCUGGUGUAGCGGUGAAAUGCGUAGAGAUUAGGAGGAACACCAGUGGCGAAGGCGGCUUACUGGACGGUAACUGACGUUGAGGCGCGAAAGCGUGGGGAGCAAA
RNAcentral lists this ribosomal RNA (153 nucleotides) under uncultured bacterium. Its description in RNAcentral is "partial 16S ribosomal RNA". It matches the Rfam family "Bacterial small subunit ribosomal RNA", at positions 620 to 772 of the family's 1533-position model. The record is from RNAcentral.